This 1031-nucleotide long non-coding RNA is filed under the name Anas zonorhyncha (Eastern spot-billed duck). RNAcentral's name for it is "lncRNA (ENSAZOG00000013169.1)". Lineage: Eukaryota; Metazoa; Chordata; Aves; Anseriformes; Anatidae. The record is from RNAcentral.
GAAAAAAAGAAAAAAAAAAAAAGGAAAACACCAUCUUGGCAUCAUUGUAGAUAUAUCACUGAAAACAUCUGCUCAGUAGAGAGCACUGGUCAAAAGAGGAAAUGAAUUUCUUCUCCAACCCAAAUGGUCAGUGAAUCCCCUGCGGUGUUGGGAUGGAUAGUGUUUGUAGGGCCAAGUUUUUAUCAGAGUAUGCAUGCUUGGACACAGCUCACUGACAAUCAAUGACAAGAGCUUGCUGCUUGAAGCAGUUGCUUUUCCUUUACACUUCAGUGUCUGUUGCAAGAGUAGCUCAUAGUGUUACGUGACUGAAAGUCUCAAAGCUUCCAUGCGGAAAAAGAUGAUGAUGGAAAUCCAGGAUGACUUGAAAAUAAACAGAAAACAACGCCCUGUCCUUAGCAUGAUGAUAGAUACAACAGCUCCUUUGUUCUCGAGACCAAACAGGUUUUCUUAGGGAAACUGAGGUGUGUGAAAUGACCUUGAUGUACUGCACCAGCUUCACACUCAAUCAGUGGAGAAAAAAUAAAAAUAAAAAAAAAUAGUGUGAAUGUGUCAGAUAAAGAUGUUCCAAUCUGCUUUAAUUCUGACUCCAGUUACCCAGAAACUGUCUAUCCAGUUGUAUGUGAAAACCUGGAGUAACGGCUAUUGAGCCAAAUUUCAUCAUCUGCCAGGCUGCUCAGGCCAAGAGGCAGCAGGAAGCUGUUGACAAUGGAGAGAGGCCCCAAGACAGGCCAUAAUAGCACAAGCCAAGUGCUAGGAAUUUAGCAGCUGAGAGAAGAUGAGCAACAAGACAAAAAUGUUAUCCUGGCAAGGAAGUGCUCAAGGAUGUAAUUAACAAUGGCUAAGCAUGAAUUUCCUUCAUUUUUCGGUCCUGAGCCAAGUCUUUACUCUUUGAAGAUGUCAUUAAAACCACCUCAAAGUCUCUCUGCCUCACACUGUUAUUUUCAGGAAUUGCUUAAAGAGAGAGUGCUGUGACAAACAUGAAGAGAGCAACUGCUGCCCAGAGAACGGAAGUGGGUUACAGCUCGGAGGCA